This is a non-coding RNA of Myotis davidii, 128 nucleotides long. NCBI's taxonomy places the organism in Eukaryota, Metazoa, Chordata, Mammalia, Chiroptera, Vespertilionidae. The record is from Rfam.
UGCCAGUUGCUUCUUACAAAUUCUGGGAAUAAACAGGUAUCUUGAAAUAGCAGGCAGAGUAAACUUGCCCCAUAUACACCUCAGCUCAGGAUCACUGCCUGGUUUGUACUGUGAAUGGGGAGACAUUG